This 75-nucleotide non-coding RNA is filed under the name Malonomonas rubra. Its description in RNAcentral is "c-di-GMP sequence". It matches the Rfam family "c-di-GMP-I-GGC riboswitch aptamer". RNAcentral also lists the same sequence under 1 other name. Lineage: Bacteria; Pseudomonadati; Thermodesulfobacteriota; Desulfuromonadia; Desulfuromonadales; Geopsychrobacteraceae. The record is from RNAcentral.
UCCGCAAAUAGUAAACCUGCCGUGAGGCGGGGACACAAAGCCACAGACCCCAAGCGGGUGGCUGGGCUGCCGGAG